Molecule: transfer RNA, 67 nt
Filed under: pig gut metagenome
Rfam family: tRNA
About the family: Transfer RNA (tRNA) molecules are approximately 80 nucleotides in length. Their secondary structure includes four short double-helical elements and three loops (D, anti-codon, and T loops).
Source: RNAcentral
UGGUGUAGCUCAGUUGGUAGAGCAUCUCACUCGUAAUGAGAAGGUCGCGUGUUCGAGUCACGUCACC